Cyanistes caeruleus (blue tit) is the source of this 1750-nucleotide long non-coding RNA. The record is from Ensembl. NCBI's taxonomy places the organism in Eukaryota, Metazoa, Chordata, Aves, Passeriformes, Paridae.
GAAUUGAAACUGAUGAAAGAAAUUAGCAAGUAUGUUAGAGACCAGAAGUACACCUCAGAAAUGAGGUAGGACUCUUUUCAUUCAGCUUGGAGUUGUGAAGGUGUAGAGAUUUGCUCUUGCAUGGUUAGAGGUAAUUGAUAUUUCCUUGCAAUCUGUUUGAUGGGAUUGCUGAUGGCUGUUUGGAAGGUGGAAAUGGACAAGCCCAUGGCCAUUGAGGAUAUGUUUCUUGAGAGAGCAAAGCAUUCAACAUGUAGCACCAAUUCUGAGAUGCUUUUCAAGAGAAAUAGAGAGCAUUUUCAAACUGUUGAUCCACUUAAAUUUGAAAGAUAAUUUUGUGUAAGUCCUUUUGUAUUAAAGCAUCCCUGGAGGUGCAAGGGCCAAGAACUGUGCGAGUGAGACUCCUAAUUCUGUAUCAGACAAAGUGGUGGCUCCUGAUUUCAGUUUCUUCAUGCUAAACAAAGUCAUUCUGUUCUGAAGAAGUCUUUAUACAUGUAGGAAGGCUGUGUCUUUGGUUUCCACAGGUCCAGAUAAACCCUUGAAAAAGUUUCUACCGUUGCUUCCAGGAAGAGUUAGGCAUAUAGCAAGCAGCAAGAGAAGAGAUAAAACUUGGGUUGCUUGAAAAGUGGGGCAAUAUUUCACAAUCGUGCAAAAGGAGAUACAGAAGAAGAGAGCAGAAUGAGAGCUUUGCAAGUGCCACAUGCCUGCAGCCUGAUGUCUUUAGUGAUGCUGUUCCUUCCAGUCACUGGAACAUCAAAACAAAAUAUCCCAAGACUGAAGCUUUCCUAUAAAGAAGGGCCUCAAUUGGAUAAAAGAAUUGUGUUCAGAAGAUACAAAACUACUCUGCUGAAUGUUCACUUCAUUAAAUCUUGGAAGAUGAGAGGAAACAAAACUGAAAUGGUGAUACUUGGCAAAGAAUUUUUGCUCCCUUGUAAAAAGAAGGAUGGGACAACAUCAAAAACAGGUUCCCUAGAAGAAUGCUGGGAAGAUACAUGAUAAGUGGCAUCAGCUCAGAAGAGAGUUCAAAACUCUUUCUUUAACUACUUUUACUAAUAACAUCUGGUAAGCAAAUGCAAUUCAGAACAGUUUCAGAAAUCCCAACAUUAUUCUCCUGCACAGUAAUGGGAGGGCAUGAUCUGCCUGACAUCAGUGUCUGUCUAGCAGUGGAUGUCUGUGAUCACUAUGCAGGUACUCAAGUCACAUCCUGUUUCACUUUCCUCCCUCCCCAUUUCUGCAGUUCCAUUUUUAGAUGAGUUCCCCAAAGAAGGGCUGAGGAGUAUAAUCUCUUCUGUACUCACAGUCCUUUGGAUACAAAUACACAAAGAGCAGAAAGAGACAGAAGUUCCUGUGUCAGUCAGAGAGAUUGGCUAACUCUGUUUAAGGGAGACGAUUUUGAAGAUGGAGGGAAUGACAGAGGUACAUCUGUGCACAAAUUUGAAAAAACCCAGACAUUCUACUUUCUGAACAAAAUCUUGGCUAAACCAGAAUUUUCCAUGGUGUUGAACCAUAAAAUUUGAGAGCUAAGAGGCUAUUGAACACACUGAAAUUUCGUAAUUAACUUAUUUGGCCUUUUUAUUAAAUUUGGCCUUUUUAUUAAAUGUUCCUGUGUAUCAUCCAAGCAACCUGGAUUUCUUUCAGAAAAAUUUCUCACUAAAUCUGUAACAAAACAUUAGCCUAUUGACAUCCUACCCCUAAAUUAAUAAGUAAAAAUACUGAUAAUAAAAAAUGUCCCCCUCCAGUAUUAAAUAAAAGC